GUCUUCGUAGUAUAUUGAUUACRCUGGUCUUGUAAGCCAUCAAAGGAGAAUCGUACCCUCCCUAAGACU
RNAcentral lists this transfer RNA (69 nucleotides) under Camelidae sp. PDM-2021. RNAcentral describes it as "tRNA-Thr". The record is from RNAcentral. Lineage: Eukaryota; Metazoa; Chordata; Mammalia; Artiodactyla; Camelidae.